RNA transcript from Vespa velutina, 6033 nucleotides. It is a transcript of the gene named SIN3-HDAC complex-associated factor, with no coding region annotated. Lineage: Eukaryota; Metazoa; Arthropoda; Insecta; Hymenoptera; Vespidae. The transcript has 8 exons. The record is from RefSeq and is a predicted model, not a curated record.
CGUUUUGUUAGAAAGUAAUUAGGAUUUCGUUUUUAAAGAAUUCCUUACUCCUGCAUUAUAGAAAGCAUUGGUUAGCUUUUUGAGAUUGUAAAACGCCCUCUUGUUGCACGCGUGCUGCAACAUUGUGCGUCUCUUGGUUGCGCGCAUGAGCUACGCGUGCUGCCUGCUGCCAGCUUGUUGUACGUGCGUUCAUGCGUUUGUCGCCGCGCAUGUCACAUAACGCGUAGCGUCUCUCGUCUGUAUACACUGCCAGCUGGAACUCGGCGGCAUUGCUAGUGUACUGUCGUUCGAAUAUCUUUCUUAAAUAAACGUUCAAAAAGACAGAAAAGAUCCUUUUUCACUGAUUUAUGAAAGUUGUUUUCUCGCCUACAGUUCUAAGCAUCGUGAUUAAAGGCACGCGAUAUUAUGAUCUACAAGAUUAAGCAGCAGUUUUCGUGUCACAGGAGGAUGCUAUUUUUGAUAUUUUCGCGUUACGAGACAUUUGACAAAUUUAUGGUGAACAGUUUUGUGUGAUCAGUAAGUAACAUUAAGAUACCGGCAAUAUGUUUAGUUUUCAUAAACCUAAAGUUUAUCGAUCCAGUACUGGAUGUUGUAUUUGCAAAGCUAAAUCAAGCAGUUCAAGAUUUACAGACAGCAAAAAGUAUGAAGAUGAUUUUAUGGAAUGUUUUCAAUUAGAAGAAAGACGUACUGGAGAGAUUUGUAAUGCUUGUGUGUUGUUAGUAAAGAGAUGGAAAAAGUUACCAGCUGGAAGUAAUCGCAAUUGGAGACAUGUUGUAGAUGCUCGUGCAGGGCCUGGUAUUAAAUCAUUAACAAAAUUUAAAUCAAAAAAUAAAAAGAAACUUAAAGAUGCACCUGAAAAAUUCGAAAAGAUAAUGAAGAAAAAGAAUAUAUAUAUAAAAUCAGAGACAGAACGCGAACAAAGUCCCGCAAUGAGUGAUGAUUUGAUUGAAGAUUAUGUGCCAGAAAAUAGUAGCAAAUGUUCUAGUAGAACAGUUAGUCCUACUGGUAGUGAUGACAUUAAUACAGUUGAUAAACCUUUAGAUAUUGCACAAGAGGAUUCUGAUAUAAAAAAUGAUUUAACUGUUAAUGGCUUUAUUGACUUAUCUUAUUUCAAAAGGGAAAUUAUUUGCUGUGGUACAAUAUUCAAAGGUCCAUAUGGAGAAGUUAUAAUAGAUCCAGCAUUGAUAAAACCAUGUACAGGUUGUCUAUCUAAGCAAAGACAGCAACAAUCAAAUGUGUUAAGAAAUAGUCCAGUACAUAGUUCAGCAUCGGCGAGUCCUGUUCAUAGUUCUGCAUCUGCUAGUCCUACCCACAGCGUAGAAUCAGGUGUAGAUUCAGCGGUGACAAAACAAACAAGUAAAACAUUCAGUGAUUCGUCUUCUGAUUCUGGUUAUGACGAAUCUUCUAAUCAAGGGGUUGGUGAGGGUAAAAUUACUAAAGUAAUUAUGAAUGUUAAUCCCAACCUCAAACCGAUUGUUAAAACACAACCGAUAAAGAGUGUGCAGUUAAAAGCUAUCCCUGUUGUGUCGGAAUCUGUCAGGUUAAAGUCAGAUGUGCCAAUAAAAUUGGUGCCUAUAAAACAAAUAGACCAACUUUCUUGUAGAUAUAUAUGUUAUGACACAAACUUAUUUUUUAAACAUGCUACCAUCAUUGCCCAGACAACAAAGGCUAUGGAAGGAUGUGUUUAAAACUUUAUAUUAAAUACAAUUGAAGAGUUUAUAAUGUUAUGAAUGGGGAUAACUGAUUUCUUAACUAGGCUUCAGUUUUCUGGGCCAAUCUUUGCAAUCGUAUAUGUGAAUACUUAUGUGGAUGUCCCAAAAUGCCAAUCAAUCUUUAAAUGUUCGGGUCCAAAAAUUCUGAAAAGUAAUUCAUAUUAACUAGGAUCUAAUGUUGACAUUGUACCAGAUGCAUUUGAAACUGUCUGUGCAAAACUCCAUGACGUUAAAAUUAAGGAAUCCAAUGAUGUGUUCAGGUAAUAUUAUCCUGAUCCACUUAGAGCAAUAAUAUACAAAUUAAAUUUUUAAUAAAAUAUCUGAAGUUUGAUAAACUUAUCAUAUCACUAUGAUGAUAUAUUUAGGCAGUAUUACUAGGGACGAAAAUUGGUUAAGAAUAUGGCAAUCAGAUUGGCGAACUGGACCAGCAAAUUUAAUUAAGAUAUUUUGAGAUGAGCAAUGAAGACACAAAAUAGGAAUGGGCUGAAUCAAUUUGAUACGAAAUUUAAGUAUAAUAAUAAAUAAGUAAAGGCUGGUAGUUCCUAGAUUUCAGAAAUGGACACGUUACAGAAAGAUAACACAAACUAAUGUACCUGUUGAAAACAGAUUAUUGUGAUUAUUCUCCAGAUCUUAUUUGAAUCAUACAUGUUUCAUGCACAAAAAAUUUUCUGAUAAGAGAUAUGUAUUUUAUUAGGAAAGUCCAUGUACGAUCGCAAAAGGCUUUCUUAUUUCUUUUUUAAUAUCCUUUUGAAUUUUUAAUUAAAAACUUAUAUUAAAAAAUAUCUCUCAAUCUACAGAACUCUUAUUUAAGAUAGCAGUGCAUUUUAUAAUACAUACAUAAACGAUUUUGCAUUUUCAUAGAUAUUUUUAAUGAACUUUAAAACUUGGUCCACAUGGACGAGGGCUGAGCAUUUUAUAUGUGCAAUAUAUAUUGCUAAUUUUGUCUAGAUUCAAGUAUGUUACUAAAUUUUAAUAUAACUGGCUGAUAGCAACCUUUUGAAUCUGAUAACAACUAUUAGAAAUAUAAAUAAAGUUUGUGAAAUUUAUGAUCUACUAUCAUACUUUAAGUCCAUUUGACAAGAAAUAAAAAGCAUGGUUCAACUCUUUUCCAUCUAGGUAAGUUGUUCAGAAAAUGAACUCUACACAGGUUAUCUUAUUGUAUUGCAUUCACAUAUAUUCUUAUGUGUUGUACAUAUGAAAUAUAAGCAAAAGAUGAGAACCUUAGAUUAAAUAAUUUCGAUCAAUGAGAUACUCAUGCCAGCAACUACUAGAAAAGAAAAGAGUUAAUAUACAAAUUUUUAUAUAAUAUUAUGCACUGCCCAUCUGGCUUAAGUGAAUUUACUAUGAAUAAGGAAAAAAGAUUAUUUGUAUGAAGAUAAAUAUUGAAUAUAUAUGAUUUGUUAAAAGACGAUGUAAGAAGCUUGCCUUGCCUUUUGACAAAUUUUCAUUAUACAUUUAUAUUGACUAGGAGAGUCUAUGAUCUCUUUAUUGUGAAUAUUAAUUUCCCCUGUAACUAACAUUAUAAUUUACGAUUUAUAAUAGUGAAAAGGACGGAUCAUAUUGGUUAAAUAAAAUGAAAAAUCUUGAUAUCACACUAUGGAAUUAUGUUUAUAAUUUAUUCAUAAUAAAAACUAAUUAUUCAUAUAAGUAUUCUAUAAAAAUCGUACACUUCAUAUUAUCAUUAAUUAUUUAUCAAAUCUUUAAUUUGUGCAAUGAUCCUUCCUUCUAGAGAGAAAAAAAUAAUUGUUUAAUUUAUUUAUUUUUUAAGUCAAAUUUAUUGCAAUAUAAUAUUCUUUGCUAUACAAAAUUAUAUAUUUUUAUACAGAUUAUCUUUGCUUUUUAUGCUACAUUUUUUGUGUGUAUAUUGAUAGAAAAGAAAAUAUUAAUUAUCACAUUUUCCAGGUCAAUCUGUUCGCAAUAUUCUAGGAAUUAUUUAUUUUUGAUUAUCUUGUAAAUUGAAAUUAAUAAUUCAUUAUUUUCUAAGAAAACUAUACUUAUAUAUAUAUAUAAGAGAGAGAGAGAGUCAUGGAUUAAUGGAUACCAGAAUAGUUAAGUUGAGUAGCAUGUGUUCGAAGAAAUAUGAUUGGGUGAUACAUACGAUAUAUUAUAUAUUUAAAAGCGUGUUUUUGAAAAGAGAAAAUGUUAAACCAAAAGUUUAUUGAUGAACAUUAUGCAGAAUUUAGAGGAGUCCAUUUUAUGUGCUGCUAACUAUUAUUGUCACAUAAUAAAAUGAUAUUUCUCAUGAAUAUGAAGAUAAAUUCAGUAUAUGCAUAUACUUUAACAGCAAUUUGAUUCAUUUCAAAAUAAUUGAUUAAACAUUACUAUAAAAUUUCUUUAGAACAAUCUACAAUGAAACAGGACAGAUGACAAGGUUGUGCUUAUAUAAUAUUAAGUCUAAGAUUUAAUCAGAUAUUUAUAUUAUCCUUAUGUCAAAGAAAUAUGUGUGCAUUUUUAUUCUAAUUAAUCGAAACCAAUGUUUAUACUAUAAUUAAGAUUUUUAUCAUAUAAAAACAGCAAUAUGAUUUAUAUUAAUGAUAUUGAUAGUAUAAUUGUAUGUGUAUUAAUUUUGGCAAAAUAUGCUAAACAAAUCCUUAAUCAUAUUUUUCACAUUGUAGCCAUUGAUAAAAUGUCUACAAAUAUGACUGAUGUAAGGAGUUCAAAUAUUCUCUCUCAUGGUGUGACCUGGCAGAUUCCAAACAAGUACCUUUUAUCAAGAAUCAUGCAAGAUUGUAAUUUUUUAAAUUAACUGCCAUAUCAGGUUUCUAAAAUUUUCAAAGAUAAAAGAGAUUUUGAUAACAAUUUUAAAAUAUUAUAAUUAAUCCUAUAUAUAUGAUAAAAAUCUCUAAUAGACUGAUAGUUUAGAAACCUGAUUUAAAAUAAUAUUAAUAAUUAGAAUAUGUAAAAGAGAUUUUGCAUAAAUCUUGCAAGUUUCUACUAUGAAUCAAUUACCCUAAUGCACUAUGAUAUUAAAUAUAAUGUUUACUUAGAAUAACGUGGUGCAACUAGAAAACAUACAAAAUUUUCUCUAUCUUGCUUACAAAUUUAUAUAUAUAUAUAUGUAUAUACAUAUAAAUACGCAUACACACAAACACAUACACAUAUAUAUACAUAUACUUAAGAUCAGUGUUCGUCCUUCUGAUUCUUGUUAUUAAAGAAACAGGUUUUUCAUAAUAUGCAUUUAUAUUACGAACGAAUUGUCUUUUAUAUUAGAUGAGGAAGUGGAUAUAGAAUUUUUUGAAUACAUUAUGGCAGGGAUGAAUAUGUAUGUAAAUAUAUGCUAGGAGGCAUUCGAUCUCGCAAGAUGUUCUAGUUAUACGAUGACUUUUUCAUCAUUGUGCUACUUGUUAACAUCAGAAAACAUCAAUAUUAAGUACGAUUCUGAGACUGAUCGAUGUAUUUAGCAGAUAACUCUAAUUUACACAAAACUGUUAGAUGUAGGUAAAUAUUGUAACAUUUAUGAAUAUGCUAUGAAAUUCUAAUAAUAACAGACAAUGACUGCCGUAAUUAAUAUUCCAUAAUUACAAUGAUUAUUCUGUUUAUAUAAUGAUUAUUAUAUAUUUGUGUGUGUAUGUGUAUAUAUAUAUAUAUAUAUAUAUAUACGCGCGCGCACACACACAUACACACAUAAAUAAUAUAUAAUUAAUCAAUUGAUUACAAUCAUAAAAGUAUCUUUGCAAUUGCUACUCUCAUUGAUUUUAUGAUAAAAAGUGUAUAUAAUUGAAAAAAUUAUGGUUACGUAUGUAUAUAUAUAUAUAUAUAUAUAUAUAUAUAUAUAUACAUACACACACACACACACACAAACACACACACAGAUACUUAGAUCAUGUACAAGAUUGUAAUAAAAAGAUUAUUUGUAAGAAUUCAUCGAUCAUACAAAUUAGAAUAAUAAUAAUAAUAAUAAUAAUAAUAAUAAUAAUAAUAAUAAUAAUAAUGAUAAUAAUAAUAAUAAUGAUAAUAAUAAUAUGAUUAAUGCAAAGUAACAUUGUGCCGAUAUGCUUGUCGACAUACAUUACCCAAACUCAAAUUUGUGUCAAUUAGUCUCAUUGCAACAAGAUUUAAAUGUUAAGAACCAUAUUCUUAGUAUUGUAGAUAUGUUGUAAAAAUAAGUACAUAUUUUGUUUUUUAACAAAAUCGACAAAUCAGUAAGUUUCUUAUUAAAGUAAUGAAUUUGUAUUAUAUAGAUGAAUAUAUAUAUAUGUAUAUAUAUAUGUAUAUAUAUAUGUAUAUAUAUAUGUAUAUAUAUAUGUAUAUAUAUAUGUAUAUAUAUAUAUAUGUAUAUAUAUGUAUAUAUAUGUAUAUAUAUGUAAGAAGUCUGUGAGAU